GCCUCUGAGGCCUAAUGGAUAAGGCACCAGCCUCCUAAGCUGGGGAUUGCGAGUUCGAGUCCCACCAGAGGUA
This 73-nucleotide transfer RNA is filed under the name Daphnia galeata. It matches the Rfam family "tRNA". From Rfam's summary of the family: Transfer RNA (tRNA) molecules are approximately 80 nucleotides in length. Their secondary structure includes four short double-helical elements and three loops (D, anti-codon, and T loops). Lineage: Eukaryota; Metazoa; Arthropoda; Branchiopoda; Diplostraca; Daphniidae. The record is from Rfam by way of RNAcentral.